AUGUUCCUACGGGACGCAGCAGUAGGGAAUCUUCCACAAUGGGCGAAAGCCUGAUGGAGCAACGCCGCGUGGGUGAAAAAGGUCUUCGGAUCGUAAAACCCUGUUGCUAGAGAAGAAAGUGCGUGAGAGUAACUGUUCACGUUUCGACGGUAUCUAACCAGAAAGCCACGGCUAAAUACGUGCCAGCAGCCGCGGUAAUACGUAGGUGGCAAGCGUUAUUCGGAUUUAUUGGACGUAAAGGGAACGCAGGCGGUCUUUUAUGUCUUAUGUGAAA
This 274-nucleotide ribosomal RNA is filed under the name uncultured bacterium. RNAcentral's name for it is "partial 16S ribosomal RNA". It matches the Rfam family "Bacterial small subunit ribosomal RNA", at positions 333 to 599 of the family's 1533-position model. The record is from RNAcentral.